AGAAAACCUUAUCAAGCAUGCUGAUUCAAAAACACUACCAAUCGUACAUAAUUCAAGAAGUUUCAUAAAAUAUAUUGAUCUACAACAAUAGUCUACUCAACAGUCAACAUUCUAAAAUUAUAAACCACAUACAGUAAUUUACAACCAUAUCAUUAACAGAGGGGCAUAUAUCAUUUCUUCCCAAAAUAACAUGUCUCCAUGACUCCACUGUCAAUAUCUAUGUCAAAGAAACUAUAUAUUCAGAUUUUUUUGUUCGAACUACAAAGCAAAAUAAGAUAAACUAAAAUACAAGUAAACGAAGCCAGUUUGGUCCACCUGACCCUUCUCAAGUGCACAGGAGCCCGCUUUGGUAGUUUUGACAGCGCCUGGCCGCAGAACAGUAGCGAGCCGACAACGCUGGGCAUGUUCUACAUGAUGUACCGGAACGCCAUCUGGCUCAGCUGAUUGAACGUCUUCUGAGGAGGAGUGAAUUGCAAAAAACCACCACAUUAGUGCCUAGGUUUGCAGAAAGCAUUGGUUUAUGAAUUUCUGUCAGAAACCAUAAAUUUUUGGCCUAAUCUUUUGCAGAAAACACUAGUUGGCGGCUUUGGCUCAUUUGAUGAUGAUUAUGACAGAUGGAGCCUGACGUGGCGUAACGGUCCAUAAUAAAUGGCGUGAGAGAGGUCUUUUUGCCAAAAACACCUCCGUGCAUGAAAAAAAAACUGCCAUAAUAAAAAAGUCAACCACCCACGUGGCCAGGUGCGGGGAGUGUUCAUCCGUCCGAGCUGCGGUGGCGCGCGGCCUGAUUCCUCUGUCUUCGCCAGGGGCGGUGGUGGCGCAGCGGCAACGGGCUCCACCGUCGACGGCUAGGGUAGCCGAGGAGCAGCUCUCCAGUCGGCGACCUGUGGCUGCGGACGCGGGGAAGGGGAGAUGGGCUCGGGGUGUCAGGUACUCACGGGGCAGCAGCGACGGCGAGCCUGGCGGCCUCCCCGACCUCGGCCCUGGCGCAAGUAGCGGCGGUCGCGCCUCCCCUUCACCAUCCUCCCUCCUCUCUCUUUCCCGAGCAGCGGCGCGCAUCCCGGACGUGCCUCUCUUCACCUUCCUCCCUCCUCUCUCUUUCCCAAGCCGGCGGCGCACAACCACGGAGCAAGCA
This 1132-nucleotide long non-coding RNA is filed under the name Triticum aestivum (bread wheat). RNAcentral's name for it is "long non-coding RNA (TAES_LNC007434)". The record is from RNAcentral. Lineage: Eukaryota; Viridiplantae; Streptophyta; Magnoliopsida; Poales; Poaceae.